CGGGCGGACGGGUGAGUAACGCGUGGGUAACCUGCCUCAUACAGGGGGAUAACAGUUAGAAAUGACUGCUAAUACCGCAUAAGACCACAGCACCGCAUGGUGCGGGGGUAAAAACUCCGGUGGUAUGAGAUGGACCCGCGUCUGAUUAGCUGGUUGGUAAGGUAACGGCUUACCAAGGCGACGAUCAGUAGCCGACCUGAGAGGGUGACCGGCCACAUUGGGACUGAGACACGGCCCAA
RNAcentral lists this ribosomal RNA (239 nucleotides) under uncultured bacterium. Its description in RNAcentral is "partial 16S ribosomal RNA". It matches the Rfam family "Bacterial small subunit ribosomal RNA", at positions 95 to 334 of the family's 1533-position model. The record is from RNAcentral.